This is a long non-coding RNA of Homo sapiens (human), 4767 nucleotides long. RefSeq annotates it as MLN antisense RNA 1. NCBI's taxonomy places the organism in Eukaryota, Metazoa, Chordata, Mammalia, Primates, Hominidae. The transcript has 3 exons. The record is from RefSeq and is a predicted model, not a curated record.
UCUCCCACUUCCCUUUGUUUGUUAGAUCAAGCGGUAUUAAUCUCUGAGUCCUCCAACCCUAGCUCUGCCUCUGGCAGGUGGUAAGCGUUCAGUAAAGUCAGCGUUGAUUUAAUAGAUGAAUUGCUUAAUGGUGAACGAAGCCACUGCCACGAAUGGAGAGACAGGAUGAUUUGCCUCUCUGGGCUUGGGGACUGAUGUGUGAUCCGGUUUUAUUUGGGUCUUAGAGUACACUCCAGGCAUGCUCCAAGACCCUGUCCCGACUUCGGGCUUGUUAACUGGGCGACACUGAGCACCAAGUAGGUGCGAUCCCUGCCUUAGGACAGACACUGGCCCCCAAGGAGCGCCAGCCUGGAGGAGACGCAGCAUCCAUGGUGGAGGCAGAGGAGCAAAAUGCCCUUGGGUUCGAAUGGGCAGUUGAGGCUUCUCUGCGGAGGGCCUGUGUCUGCGUAAUGGGAUUUUUACAAGGAGACAUGGGAGAGAGAAGACUCCAGAGAUACACGGUCUUGCAGCCUCACUGGUGGUUUAGGUUGUGGGCUUUGGAGCCAGACAGUUCGAUUUCAAAUCCCUACUCACAACUAUUAGAUGUGUGAUCAUAUUCAAUUAACAUUGUUAGCCUAUUUGCCAGUAAACCUCAAUAGAGUUGCUGUGAGGAUUAGAAGAGGUAGUUUGGCUAAGGUGCUUGGGACAGUGCCUGGCACACGUUCAUGCGUGUUUAUACUUAACCCACAUCUUUGCAGUGUCAGUGCUGUGUAGAGCCUCCCACAGGGCAGGUGAUUUGGUUACAUGAAGGCUCUUAGCAGGAAACCCCUAAGGGAAGCAAGGGAAUGUGGCAACUGGAAAUAGAACCAGUUUAUAAUCUUCCUUCCACAUCCCUCAACUCCCAUUCCCAAACAUUUAUUGCCGGCCCAAUGGGUUCCAUCCAUUUCUACCCCUGCCAUUCCAUUCUCCCCUUCCCCCAGGCCCCUCCUCCCUGGAACUGCCCCGUAUCUGUCCCAACAGCCCCCUUGCCCAUUCCCCACUUUAUUCCCUCCCCUCCCUGACACCCUGGGCAAUGCUAUGCUCCUCUGUCUGGGUUUUGCAUUCCUGCCACUUGCUCCACCUCAGGGGUAUUCAACACUGGCCACAAUUGCUGGGAAAAUGACAGCCUCGGCUUGGUCAGCUUCCACUGUUAGCCUCCCCAUCUCCCCUGACUUAGCUGCUCCCAUGUGGUGUGAUUUCUCUCACCAAGUGUUGUUUUCCUUUUCCCUGCAUGUGUUUGCACAGAAUGCCAUGAAUUUGAUAUAGUGAUUGCCUAACACAUAUACCACAUAAUAGUAUUUUAUUUCUUUCUGAAGCACUGUUUGCAUGACAAAUGAGUUGGUAACAUUUGUGCAACUCCUUGCAGCUGUGCGGUUCAAUAUAUAAAGAAUGAGCCUUUCGGCAUCAGUACUGGCCCCAUGUAUUCUAAGAGGGCUUGAAACUAAUGCUUAAACAAAGUUAUCGUUACAGCAUUUCACAGAGUUAUGGUCUAUUUUAUAACAAUGGAUCUCAGGGCGAUUUAAAAAUAUGGACUGAACUGGAGCCACCCCCAGUGGUGGCACGCAAUGUGGGCUUUGUCAGCUUCCUUGUGUUUGGGGACACUGCUGCCGCUCCACACACGUAGGGUCAAGUGGCCCACAGCCCCUCCCCCAGAACCCUGUUGUCUUCCCUGUGGUGUAGAACCCACUGUGCUUGGAGUUGUGGCCUUUGGCCACCCAUGGUCAGCCCUUUUACCUCCAUUGUGGCUUCUGGCUGUGGAUGGCCUUGUCUUGCAGGAUCUUACAGGCAGGCCUUUGGAUGUGCACCAAGGGGCACCCAGUGACCACUUAACUGCAAAUUUGCUGAUCAAUGCUCCCCUUCCCCACCCCCUCUGAGAAGGAACCUCACAAGUUAGUCAGGCGUUCCUCCCAGUUUUUGGGCCUUUCCAUUUCAUCCUGAAUUCCCAGCUCCAGUCACGUUCCUGCCCAGAUUUAUAGCCCCUCUUUGGUUUAGUGAAGUUGGCGUGUUGCUUUUUGCUUUCCUCCACACAACCAUCCACAUGCUGCCCUCCACUUGGAAGGGCUCGACCUCAGCUCUUCUUUGCCACUGCUGCCCCUUCGGGAGCUACCCACGAAACCUGCCAGGGCUUCUGGCAGCCAGCCUUUCUGUGCCUUCAGCCUGGCUCUCCUGCUGGGCCUGUCCAUGGCAGGAAGGCUUAUUGUAAAGAAAAGGGCAAUAUUGCAAAGUCAGAGGCUGCUCUGCAUGCCCUCCUUUCUCAUCACUUUGCUGUGGGUUUUUUUUUUAAGGUGAGCAGCAGCUUAGGCUGUGGUCAGUCUUCCUGAUGUAUUAAAGGCAGAAGAGGAAAAACAAGCUCCAAUAUCUAAAUCUACUUAGUAACCACAUCCACACAUUUAUCAGAGGUGAAGGGCUGCUCUGAGCACGCUCUGGAUUCCCGGGGGGCUGCCAUACUCCCUUCCGUCCCGUUGACCUCUCUCUGUCUUGGCAGAGCCUUAUAAUAAUCACAGCCAUAAAUCUUUUAGUGGGUUCCAUUCUCUUCGUCCUCCUGCAAAAAGCCCUGCACACAUUUAUCAGGUCCUCAAAGAUACUCAGGGACCACGGAAUCGUCCUUGAUCCACCUCAUGGAGGGCCUCACGUAUUGCCUCAGCUAUUCAGGGCUUCCUUCAAACUACAUUAUAGGUGGCAUUACAGUGGGGGCAGGGCACCGGGAGAUUGUGGUUGAAAAGUGGGGGCCAUGUGGGGCUCAUAUUUUGACUGGAAUGACCCAGGAACACCCAGCUUCUCACUGCUCCAUCUCAGUGCCUUAUGGAAGAGGAGGACACUCUUUUCCUCUCUCUAGGUCUGAGGGUGCAUCAGCUAAGGGGGAAAAUGGAGUCACAGAGAAAUGCCAGAAUGGUAUUUCAUAAUCUGUUGAAAAUUAAACAAAUCUCUCACUCUUUUGACUGCUCUCACACUUUGAUAUCCAUGAGUAAGAGUUCCUUCAAAGGCAUGGAAUAUAUUACCGAAUGUCAAUAACAAAUUGUGUAUGAAGAAAAAUGUAAUGCUUUGAGAAUAUUUUCUUUUGGGCUUUGUCCAUGAUUAGAUUACACUAAAUUACAGCAUACAGAUAUCAGGCAAUUACUCUUUGCUUUUAACUAUUCAAUUUCAUGGCAAAUCCACAUAGCGCAGUAAUGCUAAAAUCACACCGAUGUGGUUACCAAGAAAAUACCUCAUCAUCUCCAUUUUGUGAAGCUAGGUUCAAGUUGCACUGUAAUGACCUGUAGUCCUGUUAAGUGUAAAGUACAUUCCAGAUGAACAUGGGGUAAUCCGUACCUCUCUGUAAUUGCCAGAUAUCUGGAGAGAUUCUUGCAGAUGUUGCUGGAUAAGCCUGGGUGAGAUGUGAAGAGGAAUGGCAUCUUUGCUCUCCUGGUUACUCUGGCUACCCUCCCUGUCUCUGAUCCUGGUUGGUCUCUGGUCCUACUCAUUCUAUUGCUUUAACCAGGAGCAUGUCUCCUUUUCUUCUGUUUUGUGAAAACAUAGUCAUUUUCUCUUCACUCAGCUCACAGAAUCCUCCCCAACCUCCUCCCAAUUUUAAUUUCUUCCAAAGCUGUGGAUAUCCCAUAAGCAAUCAAGUCGGCUGUCCUGGAAACUGGAGGAGCUUGUUGGUGAAAAAAGAAUUAUUUGAGCCAAUUGUGAGAAAUCGAACAGUGGCAGGAGGAGGAAAACGAGAGAAGAAAGGAGCCGACACAUCUAAACAAGCAGCCAGGGCACUGUGCAUACAGAUGUAAGGUCUUCUGGGGUCAGCUGGACUCAUAAGGCAGGAGGGACCUCAUCUUUCAGAGAAGGAAUGCCUAGAUUAUCAACAGAACUGUGCCCCAAGACCCAGAGAGACCUCCCUGCCCCAGUGCCUAUUAGAAUGACAAAAGGGGUGGACCCAAGCCCAGAUGACCAGGGCUCUGCCUGGAAGUGCCAGGCCAGGACCCUGGGUCUGUAGAGCCUCUGCCAUUGCAAAGGAUGAGCCAGAUGGAAAAAUUCAGCAUGGAGCUGUAUCCCUGAGCCAAGAGGGCACCCCCUUCCCCGUUGGGGGAGCGAUGGCUUGGGAACAAGCCCCCCGCCCCGUGCUCCAGUGCAUCUAGCUGCCUUUGGCCACCAUCCUGAAACAGCAGGGAGCAGGCUUCCUCUUUCCUCACACCCUGGAACCCAGUGAUUGCUGACCAGGAAGCAGAACCUUCCAAGGCUGCAGGCUUGCAUCCUGCCUCUCAGCCAAGACCUGUCUCCUCAGUCAUCUGAAACCACCCUACCACGCCAGACGCUCCCUCUGCCUUCUUGCUAUUCCAGCUCUCUCUUCUUCCCACUUCCUAUUUUCUCUCCAUUUUGUUCAAACUCCAUGAACAAGAACAACAGAGCUCAGACAGCGAAAGCCUCCCCAUCCCAGCUGUAUGCAAAUUCCCAGCAGGCUGAAAGGACCACCCGCCCACCCAAGACCACCUCCCAGGAAGCCGAGGCCUUGUGUGCAGCCCCAGAGGAGCUUGAGCUGAACGGAGAAUGGGUUGAGGUGGGUGGGACCCAUCACUGUUCUUCCCUUCUCAUUCCUGCGCGUUCCCUGAAGAGUCUCUGGGGCCUGCUUUUCCCCCCAGCAGAGACGGAUGUGUCACAUUUAUGGCAUCCCAUUUCCUUCACAGAGAGGCUAUAGAUCCUGUUUCAUUCUGGUGUAUUUAAUUCACUCCAUAGGAAUCAAUAAAAACUUUAAAUUAAAAAAAAGGCAAAAUCCAA